RNAcentral lists this ribosomal RNA (344 nucleotides) under uncultured bacterium. RNAcentral describes it as "bacterial SSU rRNA". It matches the Rfam family "Bacterial small subunit ribosomal RNA", at positions 173 to 507 of the family's 1533-position model. The record is from RNAcentral.
CUAUUUUCCACGCAUGAGGGAGAUGAGAAAGGCGGAGCAAUCUGCCGCUUAUGGAUGGACCUGCGUCGCAUUAGCUAGUUGGAGUGGUAAAGGCACACCAAGGCGACGAUGCGUAGCCGACCUGAGAGGGUGAGCGGCCACACUGGGACUGAGACACGGCCCAGACUCCUACGGGAGGCAGCAGUAGGGAAUCUUCCGCAAUGGACGAAAGUCUGACGGAGCAACGCCGCGUGAGUGAAGAAGGUUUUCGGAUCGUAAAGCUCUGUUGCCAGGGAAGAAGAGCAAGGAGAGGAACUGCUCCUUGAGUGACGGUACCUGAGAAGAAAGCCCCGGCUAACUACGUG